Molecule: long non-coding RNA, 3288 nt
Organism: Pelodiscus sinensis (Chinese soft-shelled turtle)
Lineage: Eukaryota; Metazoa; Chordata; Testudines; Trionychidae
Source: RefSeq, a predicted model, not a curated record
CCCGCACCGCUCGGCACGUGGUCGCGGGGGGAAAAGGGGGCUGGGGGCGUUCGGUGCAGAUUCACGCCCGUGGGCUCGCAUUACACUUUUAACUCUCCUGCCCGGCGCGGGGCCUGAUCCGAGCCCCGUUUGGAGGCCAUGAAGAUUCGUACUCGACUUCAAUGGCCUUUGGCUCCUCCAGGGUCCCAGACUCAGGGGUAGUUUUAAAUAUAAAAAACAUGCGAGCUAGACUCUGCCCCAGCGUGAACCAGCCCCCCAUUCGCUGUUUGUUGCCUAUCACUAGGAAUUGUUUGCCGCCUCUCUUUUUGCUAGCAGGUGUGCUGGAAUAAUUUGUAUGGGGAGGGGGGGUGCUGAGAACCAUUGAACCUAAUUUAAAAUCCCUAAUCUACUGAGAAUCACUUUCCCCUCCCAUGCCCCUGAUUCCAGUUCUACAUAAGGAAGGACCCAAGAGCUGGUUGGGAGUUGGCUUUCUAGAAAAAGAAUUCCUUUUUGCCCCUGUAUAGGAGCGGAGAAACGCAAACUCUGUUUCCUCAGCCUGUAUUUAUUUUCUUCAGCACUGCACUGUAUUUUACCUAGUCAGAAGUCCUUUAAGGAAGGAUGCUAGGCUUGCUCUUCUAUAUCACCCCACUUCUCUUCAGUGGCUUCUAGAGUCAUCCAAAGCCCGAAGAUAAUACGUUGGUUCCAGCCAGCUCAAGGCCACAGCACACAUCUGACUCUCGGCUGCUGGCCAAGAAAGAGGGGGGCUUGGAAUCCACCAAUGAGCCAUAAGAAAGACAUUCAACUGAACCGAUCUGCAGAGCUAGCCCAUAACAAGCGAGACAAGCGAAGGCCAGCAUGGAGGAAAGCAAAGAGAACAACAGAGUCUAACCGGUGUGUUUUGGGAAAAGUUAAGGCGACCACAGAUAGCUGGUUUGGUCUGUCACAAAGAGCACCAGGAGCAGAGGUCGUGGAAUGGAACACCCCCAAAGGAACCCAGGACUUAAAACCCUCCUGAGAGCUGGAGCAAUUCAGAGAGAUCACAGCAGACCCUGGAUGACCUGUGCGCACAGGACCAAACUACCGUCUACCCUUCCCCCUCUUCUUUUUUCAUUCCACCCAGGCCUGGCCAGCCUCGGGUAGUGAGUGUGUGAGUAUGAAAAUGGGUUGGGGCUCAGGGCACUAACGCUUUCUUCCUUCCUCUGAGUGACAUGGGAAGCACCCAUCACUCUCUGCUGUUAUUUUAUUAUUUUAUCAAUAAAGCUUUAAAACUUAGACAUUUGGUGUGUUCCGUCAUCUCCUCCCUUAAUGAUCCUGUAGCCUCACCCAAUCACCUUAAUGAUCCUGUGGCCUCACCUCAGGCAGACUGGUAACAAAAAUCUGUCACACCUUCUACAGAUGAUAUAUGUCAGAAAUACAAUAAAGGGAAUGGAAUUAAAUCCUUUUUUCUUAGAAUAGAAAACACCACACCAGAGCCAGGAUCUAGUAGCAAUCAGAGGCUUUAUGGAUCUGAUGAUGACAACAGCCAUCUACUUCAGGCUCCCACCUUUUAUACUCAAGCCUAAAAGAUUAUGGUUUCAAAGAGAAGCGCAAAGAACUGAUCAAAUGGAAAUUACAGAUGAAUAAUCAGAGCGCAAAUAUUGUUAUCAGCUCAAACCCCUCAUUAGAGAAUGUCUCAUGGGAAUUUUUCCAGUUUGUUCUCAUCAUUGACUCAAUACAGAUGACCAAUCUGACCAGCCCAUAUACUAGGGACCUCUAGCGAAACCAAUCACACUGGUUUGGCAGAACAAAUGGCAAGAGCUCCGUCAGACCAAUCUUCUGCCUCAUUUGUUUUGAUAAGUUCCUUAUGAAACAUCUUUGCAAGAAAACCACCCCUUUUUCAGCUUCUGACCUUGUAAUAUGCUUAAGUGCAAGGGUUGCUUAGCAUCCAUAUUGCUCAGCCUGGAUUGGAAAAGAUAUUCCAGACUCAAACUACUAGAGUCUCUUGAAUGACCAAGUUUUGGAAGCAGCCUGUGUCACUUUGGAUUCUCUUUAAGACAGACUUACAGGCAUCACAGUAUAAGAUUGAGUGUUCUUUCCUCAAACAUCCCAACCCGCAGACUUACCCGGGACCUUCAGGGUCGGGGGAAUGGCAGUGUGGGAGUGUAGGAGUCAGGGCGGGGCCUUGGUGAUGUGUGUGUGUGGGGGGGGAGUGCAGGAGGCUGGGGGCUGAGGGGGUGCAAGUGUGAGGCUCGGGAGGUAAGGAGAGGCUCAGGGUGGGGAGAGUCCCAUCUGACCAUGGGCCUUUUCUCUCCCCUUAGUCUCCUGCUCUGGCUGCCAGGGGCAUUUUUCUCUCCUCCCCGCACUCCAGUGUUGCAGCCAAGGGCCGGGAGGGGUGGGGUUUGAGGCAGGGGGCUCUUUACCUGGUGUGCUGGCAGGCAAGAUGGCAGAGCCACUGCUCUACUGGCCACUCCUUUGACGGUACAGCUGCCUCCAGUGGCCACUCUGCAGGAUAGCUCUCCCUUAUGGGCUCAUUAAGCCCAGUGGCCACUCUCAUAUUGCGUUUCUCCGAUCAGCAGCUCCUCCCUUUGCAUGUUAUGGAAAACUGUCCUUUCCAUUGGCUUCUGAUUGUCCUAGCACAACCCAACUCUGACUUUGCUUUAAAGUUAGGAGAAGAGGAAGCUGCAUAACAAAUUUGGUGGUCCUAGCUCUUAUCAUUUAGGACAGGGAUGGGCAUGAUCCAGCCCACCAAGCCAUUUGAUUAGGCCCAUGUCCCGCUUCGCUUGGGGACAGGAUAGCGUAACAAGUCUCCUCCUUUAAGAAAGGCAUUGGAUUUAUGAUUUAUUAAAACAAUCUGUAAUCCAUUAAUCCCCCAAGGCAUUAACAGGCCACUUCACCUUGAAUGGUCCCUUAGAAUGUGAUAACAAUACAGUAUAUAUUUAUGCUAAAUUAUAUAUUCCAUGCUGUAUUUUGGUGAGACACCCUCAGUAGCUUUCCCAGACCUGAAGAAUUCCCUGUAGCUCCAAAGCUUGUCUCUCUCACCAAGAGAAGUCAGUUCAUUAAAAGAUAUUACCUCACCCACUCUCUCUCUGUGAUCCCAGAUGUGAAAAGCAAACACACCGACAAAACCACACAUAUUUUCCCUUUUACACAUUUUUUAUCAGUUUUGGUAGUUCCAAGGGUUAAUAAAAAUAUGCUUCAGAAACUGAUAGCAACAAUUUCAUUUCCAAUGGAAAUAUAUACUGUAUUGUUAUCACCAUUAUUCCCUUAGAUCACCAUAGUUUUAAACAUUGGCCACAUUUUGUACUUAGCUGUCUUUACAAUUUUCCUUUA